This is a long non-coding RNA of Ictalurus punctatus (channel catfish), 607 nucleotides long. Lineage: Eukaryota; Metazoa; Chordata; Actinopteri; Siluriformes; Ictaluridae. The record is from Ensembl.
UUUCCAUUUUCCCUGGAAAUCCUUUGAAGAGGGGACCUUCAGAAUACCAUCUGCACCUGGAAGCUUCAUCAACGAAUUUAUUAUUCGUUAUUCCCUGGUACACCCGGUGGAUAUGAGCCAACCGCUACAUGUCUGAACCUGCGAGAUGUGUUUGGCUAUAUUCCCUUCUAUGUCAGGCACCUGGAGAGUGGGCUAGUGUUCAGAGGAGGCUAUUCCCUACCCCCAACCAAGCCACACCGACAUCGCAGGCAUGCUAUCCUGCUUAGCCAAAGACAUUCUCCAGGAAUGGCCAGCUCUCUCGAAAAACCAUAAACAAGCUUCCAUAGUGAUGGUGCCCAGCAUGACGCAGAGUUACUGUUACUGCCCUGAAGCUGAUUCUUUUCCCAUCCUGAAGUAAUUUUGUCACAACAGGACAAUACGCCUCCCAGCCAACAGAGGUCACUGUCACCAUGGUUCAAUUCCUGCUUACUAUACUAUUGCUAAUGGUUCCUGCUGUGUAAGUUGGAACAGUGUCUAUCCCGAUCUCAUUUCUUUGUAUGAUUAUUCUCUAUCACUCAUGCCUGACUGAUCAUCCUUGUCUGUAUGAAAUUUUUGGCUUUUUGCCUGC